GGUGAAAGUUCUAGCUGUGUAUUGUGAUGAAAAUAAGGUUAGGUGUGCAGGACCUGGUGAAAGCUUACGGGUUAGAUUAUCUGGGAUUGAAGAAGAGGACAUAUUAUCGGGUUUUAUCUUGUCAAGUGUUGUAAAACCGAUAGCUGCUGUCACUGAAUUUACAGCCCAGCUGUAGAUCCUUGAGUUGCUUGAAAAUGCUAUUUUUACAGCUGGAUAUAAGGCUGUGUUGCAUAUUCAUUCUGUUGUUGAGGAGUGCGAGAUAGUGGAGCUACUACAGCAGAUUGAUCCAAAGACAAAGAAACCCAUGAAAAAGAAAGUUCUUUUUGUGAAGAAUGGUGCUGUUGUUGUGUGUCGCAUUCAGGUGAACAACUUGAUUUGCAUUGAGAAGUUCUCAGAUUUUCCACAACUUGGGAGAUUCACUCUUCGUACUGAAGGAAAAACCGUUGCAGUUGGAAAAGUCACUGAUCUUUCUUCAAGUAGUGGUGCUUAAUACAAUUUUGUUCUUAGAGUGAUGCUAAUGUGUGCUUGGAGGAGAUUCAUGCGACUAAGAUAUUCUCAAUAGUUAAAUUUCUUCUAUUACCAUAUGCAAAAAAUGGAGUUCAUGAACAAAUUAUUAUGCAAAACCAGAAUUAAAUGGACAAGGAUCAUGAGCUAGAUUGCUUCUAUUACAGAGAUUCUAAGUAACUGAAACACUGGUGAAAUGAGCUGAGAUGUGAGAAUGGAAUGAAGUAUUAACCUUAUAAUAUUGUUUUUUCCCGAGUAUCCCUGAGGAUUUGCAACUACAAGUUUGUUAAAGGGCCUAUCUCCACAAGACUCUUGAGCUAGAAGCUAGUAAUAAUAGAAAAUAAUGUGAAAGUCUGCUUGUACAUUUCCUGCUUUUGUGAAGAAGAGAUAUUGUUACAGAGGACGAUUUCAUCUUGCUAAUUUCCUUCCAAAGUAGAACAGCUGUCGAAUUGAAACCAAGAGAAGUUUUAAUUGAUCGAGAGAGUAAGAAUUGAUUUCACCUUGCCAAUGCCAUUGUGAGGAAGAGUAUUACAAUCGAUGGAUGGAAGCUUUUACUCCCAACAACGUCAUCACAUAAUAAUUUGAAGGCGUGAUUUUAUUCAUCCUCUGUACCGGAAUCGCAUUUCAAAUCUCUUGCCUGAUAGACCAAAGACUCCCUUGGCAUUAAGAACCCGGUAAGGGUAAAAGUAGUACAAAAACACAGAAAACACCAUCCAAGACUUGAUGGCAGCUCCAAGAGAUCAAAAGACAAGAGUCACAAAGCCCUGAAACAAAAAGAAGGGCAGCACAAUAGGUCUCUAACCUAAAAAAAGAAAAGGGCUAGAUCCUAAUCAAAAUGAUUUUUUGAUAACCUGCAACAUGUAUUCAAUGUUAUGAAUAUUAGAUAGUAGUAAAAUUUGAGA
Molecule: RNA transcript, 1406 nt
Organism: Theobroma cacao (cacao)
Lineage: Eukaryota; Viridiplantae; Streptophyta; Magnoliopsida; Malvales; Malvaceae
Source: RefSeq, a predicted model, not a curated record